RNAcentral lists this ribosomal RNA (501 nucleotides) under uncultured bacterium. Its description in RNAcentral is "partial 16S ribosomal RNA". It matches the Rfam family "Bacterial small subunit ribosomal RNA", at positions 30 to 523 of the family's 1533-position model. The record is from RNAcentral.
AUUGAACGCUGGCGGCAGGCUUAACACAUGCAAGUCGAGCGGAGAUGAGGUGCUUGCACCUUAUCUUAGCGGCGGACGGGUGAGUAAUGCUUAGGAAUCUGCCUAUUAGUGGGGGACAACAUUCCGAAAGGAAUGCUAAUACCGCAUACGUCCUACGGGAGAAAGCAGGGGAUCUUCGGACCUCGCGCUAAUAGAUGAGCCUAAGUCGGAUUAGCUAGUUGGUGGGGCAAAGGCCUACCAAGGCGACGAUCUGUAGCGGGUCUGAGAGGAUGAUCCGCCACACUGGGACUGAGACACGGCCCAGACUCCUACGGGAGGCAGCAGUGGGGAAUAUUGGACAAUGGGGGGAACCCUGAUCCAGCCAUGCCGCGUGUGUGAAGAAGGCCUUAUGGUUGUAAAGCACUUUAAGCGAGGAGGAGGCUACUGAGACUAAUACUCUUGGAUAGUGGACGUUACUCGCAGAAUAAGCACCGGCUAACUCUGUGCCAGCCGCCGCGGUAA